Molecule: non-coding RNA, 24 nt
Filed under: Cricetulus griseus (Chinese hamster)
Lineage: Eukaryota; Metazoa; Chordata; Mammalia; Rodentia; Cricetidae
Source: RNAcentral
ACUCUUGACAGUGGGAUGACGAUA